Molecule: ribosomal RNA, 435 nt
Filed under: Fusobacterium necrophorum
Lineage: Bacteria; Fusobacteriati; Fusobacteriota; Fusobacteriia; Fusobacteriales; Fusobacteriaceae
Description: bacterial SSU rRNA
Rfam family: Bacterial small subunit ribosomal RNA
Source: RNAcentral
GAGUUUGAUCAUGGCUCAGGAUGAACGCUGACAGAAUGCUUAACACAUGCAAGUCGACUCGAGUCUUCGGACUUGGGUGGCGCACGGGUGAGUAACGCGUAAAGAACUUGCCUCUUAGACCGGGACAACAUCUGGAAACGGAUGCUAAUACCGGAUAUUAUGGUUUUUUCGCAUGGAGGAAUCAUGAAAGCUGGAUGCGCUAAGAGAGAGCUUUGCGUCCCAUUAGCUGGUUGGUGAGGUAACGGCCCACCAAGGCAAUGAUGGGUAGCCGGCCUGAGAGGGUGAACGGCCACAAGGGGACUGAGACACGGCCCUUACUCCUACGGGAGGCAGCAGUGGGGAAUAUUGGACAAUGGACCACAAGUCUGAUCCAGCAAUUCUGUGUGCACGAUGACGUUUUUCGGAAUGUAAAGUGCUUUCAGUCGGGAAGAGGUC